UUAUAGAUGAGAGAGGAAAGUCUGGACCUUAAAAAACCAAGAAACGGUUAAGAGCCGUCCAUAUAAUUUAUUAUAUGAGGGAAAGUGUCACAGAAAAUAAACAGUGAAAUCUUUUAACGAAGACCACAAUGGUGAAAAGGUGGGGUAAGAGCCUACCGCUCUUCUUAUAAAAGAAGAGGCAUGACAAACCCUUCUUAAGGCAAGAUUAAGCAGUAUGUACUAUCAUUGGUUUUAUGAUUUCAUACGGGUAGAUCGCAAAAAUUUUAUUAGUAAUAAUAAUAAUAAGACAGAUGUUUUCUUAAAAACAGAAUCCGGCUUAUACU
RNAcentral lists this RNase P RNA (323 nucleotides) under uncultured Brevinema sp. Its description in RNAcentral is "Bacterial RNase P class A". It matches the Rfam family "Bacterial RNase P class A", at positions 31 to 354 of the family's 367-position model. From Rfam's summary of the family: Ribonuclease P (RNase P) is a ubiquitous endoribonuclease, found in archaea, bacteria and eukarya as well as chloroplasts and mitochondria. Lineage: Bacteria; Pseudomonadati; Spirochaetota; Spirochaetia; Brevinematales; Brevinemataceae. The record is from RNAcentral.